Solanum stenotomum is the source of this 69-nucleotide long non-coding RNA. RefSeq lists it as uncharacterized. The record is from RefSeq and is a predicted model, not a curated record. NCBI's taxonomy places the organism in Eukaryota, Viridiplantae, Streptophyta, Magnoliopsida, Solanales, Solanaceae. The transcript has 2 exons.
GUAUCGGCAGUGACAAAUUAAUAGAAGUAUUAGGUACAAUCAACAAAGAAAAUGGCGAUUGACGGAGUU